Molecule: transfer RNA, 74 nt
Filed under: Candidatus Nitrosopumilus sp.
Lineage: Archaea; Thermoproteati; Nitrososphaerota; Nitrososphaeria; Nitrosopumilales; Nitrosopumilaceae
Description: Nitrosopumilus sp. tRNA-His
Rfam family: tRNA
About the family: Transfer RNA (tRNA) molecules are approximately 80 nucleotides in length. Their secondary structure includes four short double-helical elements and three loops (D, anti-codon, and T loops).
Source: RNAcentral
GGCCUUCGUAGUACAGUGGUUAGUAUAGAGGAUUGUGGAUCCUCGGACAGGAGUUCGAUUCCCCUCGAGGGCCU